GAGGGUAUAGCUCAGUGGUAGAGUGCAAGCUUAGCAUACAGGAGGUCCUGGGUUCAAUCCCCAGUACCUCCA
This 72-nucleotide transfer RNA is filed under the name Camelus bactrianus (Bactrian camel). It matches the Rfam family "tRNA". Rfam says of the family: Transfer RNA (tRNA) molecules are approximately 80 nucleotides in length. The record is from Rfam by way of RNAcentral. RNAcentral also lists the same sequence under 3 other names. Lineage: Eukaryota; Metazoa; Chordata; Mammalia; Artiodactyla; Camelidae.